UUGCCACCUUGGAGCCCUUGGGUCUGGGUUAAGUCACUAGUGCCCACAGAGCUCAGCUGGGAAGAAGAAAUCACAGACACCUCGCCAACCAUUCCCUUAGGCCUCUGGCUUCAUCUAGUCUGGUCACUGAACCGGCAGCAGAAUGUCCUCCUGUGUCCUCCGGCCACAGAUAACCCCCAUUUAUUAAUGGGGCAGCCCGACAAGCCCCCUUGGGACAAUCCAUGGUACAGAGGGGCCAGCAGGACUGAGCACCAGCCCCCAGUGGAAGAAAAAACGCUGGAACCUAAACAGGCAGCAUCACCCACAGCUCACAGGUCCUUCCCAUCCUAACAGGAUUUUUGUGGGCCUGGUUAUAGGCUGCAUUAAGCUGCCCCACUCCCAUCCCCACUACGUCACAUGUUGACAUACAAACCCCCAGACCCUCAGGCUGUGACUGCCGUUGGAGACGGAGCCUUCAAUGAGGUAAAUGAGGUGAAACGAGGCCUCUUCCAGUCUGACCGGCAUCUCUGAGGGGUGUGAGUCCUCACAGAGCAAAGGCCAUGUGAGGAGGAAGCCAGAAGACGACCGACUUCAAGGCAAGGAGAGAGGCCCUCCGAGGAAACCACCCCCGCUGACACCUGAUCUUGGACGUCCAGCCUCGAGACCUAUGAGAAAGUAAAUUUCUGCAGAGUAGCCCCCAGACUAUAGCAUUUUGUUAUGACUUCCCAGGCCUUGAAAAUUUUCAUUUAUUUCUGAUGUGAGAAAAAAUACACUAUCUUUGACCCUAAAGCUUUUUUUUUUUCUUUCUGACUUUAAAAGAAAUUGAAACAUUUGCGUGGGCCCCUUGAAGUACAGUGGGCUCUGAGCACAGCACCCUUUGCACCUGAUGGAGCCGUCGGCUCCACCAUCACUGAGGGCACCUGGACCAUUCUGCAUUGAAGCCGUUUUUGUGCUGAAGGUGUUUUUCCCACUGAUGCUGGUUUUCCAUACCUCUGUUCCUCCCGGGGUGUCCUGCACUGCAGCUCGCAUUGUAUUAUGGCCUAAAACCAGACCACUGUGACAAAUGA
Sus scrofa (pig) is the source of this 1046-nucleotide long non-coding RNA. RefSeq lists it as uncharacterized. Lineage: Eukaryota; Metazoa; Chordata; Mammalia; Artiodactyla; Suidae. The record is from RefSeq and is a predicted model, not a curated record.